UCCCUGGUGGCUCAGACGGUAAAGUGUCUGCCUACAAUGCAGGAGAUCUGGGUUCGAUCCCUAGGUCGAGAA
RNAcentral lists this transfer RNA (72 nucleotides) under Ovis aries (sheep). It matches the Rfam family "tRNA". From Rfam's summary of the family: Transfer RNA (tRNA) molecules are approximately 80 nucleotides in length. Their secondary structure includes four short double-helical elements and three loops (D, anti-codon, and T loops). Further hydrogen bonds mediate the characteristic L-shaped molecular structure. tRNAs have two regions of fundamental functional importance: the anti-codon, which is responsible for specific mRNA codon recognition, and the 3' end, to which the tRNAs corresponding amino acid is attached (by aminoacyl-tRNA synthetases). tRNAs cope with the degeneracy of the genetic code in two manners: having more than one tRNA (with a specific anti-codon) for a particular amino acid; and 'wobble' base-pairing, i.e. permitting non-standard base-pairing at the 3rd anti-codon position. The record is from Rfam by way of RNAcentral. Lineage: Eukaryota; Metazoa; Chordata; Mammalia; Artiodactyla; Bovidae.